AUACGGAGGAUCCGAGCGUUAUCCGGAUUUAUUGGGUUUAAAGGGUGCGUAGGCGGAUUUUUAAGUCAGUUGUGAAAUCCUACGGCUCAACCUUGGAAUUGCCGUUGAUACUGGAAGCCUUGAGUGCGUUAAAUGUGGGCGGAAUGCGUGGUGUAGCGGUGAAAUGCUUAGAUAUUACGAAGAACUCCAAUUGCGUAGGCAGCUUACAGGACUGUAGCUGACGCUGAUGCACGAAAGUGUGGGUAUCAAACAGGAUUAGAUACCCUGGUAGUCCACACAGUAAACGAUGAAUACUCGCUGUUUGCGAUAUACAGUAAGCGGCUAAGCAAAAGCAUUAAGUAUUCCACCUGGGGAGUACGGCCGCAACGUUGA
Molecule: ribosomal RNA, 372 nt
Filed under: uncultured bacterium
Lineage: Bacteria
Description: bacterial SSU rRNA
Rfam family: Bacterial small subunit ribosomal RNA
Source: RNAcentral